UACGGAGGAUGCAAGCGUUAUCCGGAAUUAUUGGGCGUAAAGCGUCCGUAGGUGGAAGCGCAAGUCAGUUGUUAAAGCGCGAGGCUUAACCUCGUAAGGGCAAUUGAAACUGCGCAUCUAGAGUGCGAUAGGGGCAAGGGGAAUUCCCAGUGUAGCGGUGAAAUGCGUAGAUAUUGGGAAGAACACCGGUGGCGAAAGCGCCUUGCUGGGUCUGCACUGACACUGAGGGACGAAAGCUAGGGGAGCGAAAGGG
This 253-nucleotide ribosomal RNA is filed under the name uncultured bacterium. RNAcentral's name for it is "partial 16S ribosomal RNA". It matches the Rfam family "Bacterial small subunit ribosomal RNA", at positions 524 to 776 of the family's 1533-position model. The record is from RNAcentral.